Molecule: ribosomal RNA, 410 nt
Filed under: uncultured microorganism
Description: bacterial SSU rRNA
Rfam family: Bacterial small subunit ribosomal RNA
Source: RNAcentral
GAGUUUGAUCAUGGCUCAGAUUGAACGCUGGCGGCAUGCCUUACACAUGCAAGUCGAACGGUAACAGGUCUUCGGAUGCUGACGAGUGGCGAACGGGUGAGUAAUACAUCGGAACGUGCCCGAUCGUGGGGGGAUAACGGAGCGAAAGCUUUGCUAAUACCGCAUACGAUCUACGGAUGAAAGCAGGGGACCGCAAGGCCUUGCGCGGACGGAGCGGCCGAUGGCAGAUUAGGUAGUUGGUGGGAUAAAAGCUUACCAAGCCGACGAUCUGUAGCUGGUCUGAGAGGACGACCAGCCACACUGGGACUGAGACACGGCCCAGACUCCUACGGGAGGCAGCAGUGGGAAUUUUGGACAAUGGGCGAAAGCCUGAUCCAGCCAUGCCGCGUGCAGGAUGAAGGCCUUCGGUU